GAUUCGUGCGGAAUGACGUGCAUGCACUGCCAUAGGCAACGGCGUUGCUUCAAGUUGUUAGCUAGUUAGCUAUAAACUUUUCAGUCCAGAAGACAAGGUUCGGGAAGAAAUGUGUUAUUUAUGUAUGAAAAUAUGGAUGUGAGACAGAGAAAAGUGUUCAAACUGCCGACCAACACAGAGAAGUAUCGUGAAGCACAUCCCAACGACGGUUACAUCGGCGAGGAUCACGACGAAACGGACGAGUUUAGGAAGAUGGUGGACAGUUACAGCGAAACUGGGAGAGAGAAGCAUGUGGUGAAUGAGGAGAGGUCCCCUCUAGGUCCCUGGCUCCUAGCUCUCUUUCUCUUUGUGAUGUGUGGAUCAGAAAGGAUCUCUGCUCUAACGUGACACUUCCUACGUCGUCCAUAGGCUCUCAGAGCCCGGGAAAAACCUGAAUGUCGUCAUCCCAGCCCCAGGCUGAAACACAUUAUCGCCUUUCUCAAGUGGCCGAUCAAGGGACUCUGGGCUUAGGCGCGUGACCCC
RNAcentral lists this long non-coding RNA (522 nucleotides) under Salmo salar (Atlantic salmon). RNAcentral describes it as "lncRNA (ENSSSAG00000113627.1)". Lineage: Eukaryota; Metazoa; Chordata; Actinopteri; Salmoniformes; Salmonidae. The record is from RNAcentral.